GAUCUUGGCUGCAUGUGAUGUAAAACUGCUGCGACUUCUAAAAUCAUUGCUGAGUCUUUAAGAGAACAAGAUACUUAUUGAAUCCAAAAGGCCACUCUGUCUCAGCACUCUGGCCUGCGGGGUUGAAGAGAGGCAGGUGUUUGGGAAGGGGAUGUUGGGGAAGGAGGUGUUGGGGAAGGGGGAAGGAGGUGUUGGGAAGGAGGUGUUGGGGAAGGAGGUGUUGAGAAGGAGGUGUUUGGGAAGGAGGUGUCUGGGAAGCCUGAUCAGGUAUCACAUCUCCCUUGGGAAUCUUGCCUUCUUGCAGUGAGUAUUUGCAACUGUAUGUCCCUUAACAAAGAAGGACUUGUGUGGACCACAUCCUCACAGAACACAGCAUGUAUUACUUGAAGGACUGACCCAAUCUGUGUCUGUGGUGUUUGGGACAAUAGCUGAGAUAAUAAGGCCUUCCAAUUCCCCCAGGUUCUCCAAUCAUGCCACAUGACCCUCUUAACAUCUCUGAUACAAUAACCAGAGAGGGGAUAGUCAUCCCCAUUGUUAAGAUGCAGAUGCAGAAAUUC
RNAcentral lists this long non-coding RNA (557 nucleotides) under Pan troglodytes (chimpanzee). Its description in RNAcentral is "long non-coding RNA NONPTRT002358". The record is from RNAcentral. Lineage: Eukaryota; Metazoa; Chordata; Mammalia; Primates; Hominidae.